This 1047-nucleotide ribosomal RNA is filed under the name Vryburgia amaryllidis. RNAcentral's name for it is "large subunit ribosomal RNA". Lineage: Eukaryota; Metazoa; Arthropoda; Insecta; Hemiptera; Pseudococcidae. The record is from RNAcentral.
AUAGAAAUAAAAAAAAAUAUAAAAAUAAUUUAAAUAAAAUAUUAAAUUUAAAUUCUUUUUGUAUUAAGAUUAUAUAAAAUAAAUUUAAAUAUUUUAUUUUUUCUAAAUAAUAAGAAAUAUAAAUUUAAAUAAUUUAUUGUAUCAUAAUUAUUUAAAAUAAAUUUAUAGAUUAGAAAUUAAAUUCAAUUAUUAUUUUAUAAUUUUAUAUUAAUUUAAUAAAAUUAAUAAUUUAUUUUAUUUAAUAAAUUAAAUAUUUAUAAAGAUAAGUUUAUAAAUUAAUUAAAUUAUUUUAUUAAUAAUUUAUAUAUUUUAUAUGAAUAAAAAUUUUAAAUUAAAAUUUUUUAAUUAUUUAAUAUAUUUUUUUAAAUUUUAAAUUAAUUAAUUAAUUUAAUAUAAUAAUAAUUUAAAUUAAAAUAAUUUUUUAAUAAUAUAUAAAUUAGUAAUUAAAUAAAUUAUUUUAAUGAAUUCGACAAGUAAAUUUUUAUUUGUUUAAUAAAAACAUAAUUUAAAGAAAUUAAUUUUAAAUAUAUUCUGCUCAAUGAAUUUAUUUUAAAUAGCUGCAGUAUACUAACUGUACAAAGGUAGCAUAAUAAUUUGUAUUUUAAUUGAAUAAUGGAAUGAAUGAAUAAAUAAAAAAUUUUUUUUAUUUUUAUAAUUAAAUGAAUUUAAUUUUUAAGUUAAAAAGCUUAAAUAAUUUUAAAAGACAAAAAGACCCUAAAAAUUUUAUAUAAUUAAAUUAUAUAUUUAUUUGGGGUAAAUUUAAUAGAUUAAUUUAUUAGAUAAAUUAAAAUAAAAUAAUUUUUUUUAAAAAAUUACUUUAGGGAUAACAGGAUAAAUUAAAUUUAAUAGAUUAUAUUAAAAAUUUAGAUUAUUACCUCGAUGUUGAAUUAAUUAUAACUUAUUAAAAUAGAAAUUAAUAAAGUAAGUUUGUUCAACUUUUAAAUAAUUACAUGAUUUGAGUUAAGAUCGAUGUAAAUUAGAUUGGUUUUUAUCUUUAAAAAAUAUUAUUAAUUUAGUACGAAAGGAUUUAUUAAUAUUUUUAAUAUU